RNAcentral lists this ribosomal RNA (456 nucleotides) under Peptoniphilus sp. oral taxon 375. RNAcentral describes it as "bacterial SSU rRNA". It matches the Rfam family "Bacterial small subunit ribosomal RNA", at positions 28 to 487 of the family's 1533-position model. Lineage: Bacteria; Bacillati; Bacillota; Tissierellia; Tissierellales; Peptoniphilaceae. The record is from RNAcentral.
GACGAACGCUGGCGGCGGCCUAACACAUGCAAGUCGAGCGAUGAAAUUUUAGCCGAUCUCUCGGAGAGAAGAUAAAAUGGAUUAGCGGCGGACGGGUGAGUAACACGUGAGCAACUGCCUUUCACAAGGGGAUAGCCUCGGGAAACCGGGAUUAAUACCCUAUGACACAUUUCCUUCGCAUGAAAGAAAUGUUAAAACUCCGGUGGUGAAAGAUGGUCUCGCGUCUGAUUAGUAGUUGGUGGGGUAACGGCCUACCAAGGCCAUGAUCAGUAACCGGCCUGAGAGGGUGAACGGUCACAUUGGAACUGAGACACGGUCCAAACUCCUACGGGAGGCAGCAGUGGGGAAUAUUGCACAAUGGAGGAAACUCUGAUGCAGCGACGCCGCGUGAGCGAUGAAGGCUUUCGAGUCGUAAAGCUCUGUCCUAUGGGAAGAUAAUGACGGUACCAUAGGAGG